Molecule: long non-coding RNA, 356 nt
Filed under: Piliocolobus tephrosceles (Ugandan red Colobus)
Lineage: Eukaryota; Metazoa; Chordata; Mammalia; Primates; Cercopithecidae
Description: lncRNA (ENSPTEG00000017130.1)
Source: RNAcentral
GCUGCUUCAGACUGUGUCUAUUCUAGGAAGGCUGACACAUGAUGAGAAGAUUCAGUGGUUCUGAGGUACAGUACUUAAGAUAACCCUGUGAAGGCUGAGAUUGGUAUUUGAAAUUCACAACUGAUCUUGGAGCCUGGUGCAGCAGUCAUGGAUAUGUUCAUGUGUGGAUGCGAUGGAACUGAGGUCACUAGGUUCAUGCUACCUGGAGCAUGAGGCUGACAAAUAGAGAAGCACUGAGUCAAAUGAAUCUUGGAAAAAUGGAGCUAGAAGAAAACCAGAGUCUAUCUGUUCUACUGGUUGUAUUCUCCUUGAAGGCAGAAAUGAUGUCUGAUUGAUUUCUGAGGAGCAUGAAAGAA